This 1554-nucleotide ribosomal RNA is filed under the name Triticum aestivum (bread wheat). RNAcentral's name for it is "partial small subunit ribosomal RNA". Lineage: Eukaryota; Viridiplantae; Streptophyta; Magnoliopsida; Poales; Poaceae. The record is from RNAcentral.
AUGUGUAGUAGAGAAGGAUUCAAGUCAAAAGAUAUUAAGGAGAUUAAUGACCCCUUGAGGAAAAGACGUAAGCAGACAGACACGCGAUGCGGUUGUGAUGCUCAUAUAUUUAUUAGACUUUGUGGGGAGAACACCUACAAGAUAGACUCAUGGAUUGAGCAUCAUGUUCAUGGUCUUGUAUCACCUGAUAAGCGUCAUUUGAUCAGAUCCAAUCGUAGAGUUAGUGAGAGGGCAAAGAAUACUUUAUACACAUGUCAUAAGGCAAGCAUUGGAACCUCCCAGGCAUACAGGCUCCUGCAAGUUAGCGAGGGUGGAAUUCCGAAUGCUGGGUGCACAAAGAGGGACUUGCAAAAUUACUAUCGCGGACUCAGGUAUAAAAUCAGAGACGCAGAUGCUCAAAUGUUUGUGGCCCAAUUAGCUAGAAAGCAGGAAGUGAAUUCAGCAUUUUUCUAUGAUUUUGAGGUGAAUGAUGAGGGGAACCUGGUGCAUGUGUUCUGGGCGGAUGCCACAAGCAGGAAGAACUAUAGUCACUUUGGUGAUGUGAUAUCCUUCGAUUCUACAUACACCACUAAUCAGUACAACAUGAUAUUUGCACCAUUUACAGGGGUUAAUCAUCACUUACAAAGUGUCUUUUUUGGUGCUGGAUUCUUAUCAAAUGAGAAGGAUGAGUCAUACAUUUGGUUAUUUCAGACCUUCCUAAAAGCAAUGGGAGGGGUAGCACCUAGACUCAUCAUAACUGAUGAAGCUGCUAGCAUCAAGAAUGGUAUUGACAAAGUUCUUCCAGCCACUAUGCAUAGGUUAUGCAUGUGGCAUAUAAUGGAAAAGGUGCCUGGAAAAGUUGGACCUUUGAUUAGGGAAGAUUCUGAAUUUUGGCCGAGGUUGAACUCAUGUGUUUGGGGUUCAGAAACUGCAAGUGAGUUUGAGUCACAAUGGAAUUCCAUCAUUACAGAUUUUGGGUUGGAGGAUAACGAGUGGUUAGCUAAGAGGUUUACCAUUAGAGAUACAUGGAUACCAGCCUACUUUAUGGAUAUAUCUCUUGCGGGCUUGCUCCGAACCACUUCAAGGUCAGAAAGUGCAAAUUCUUUUUUCAACCGUUUCAUUCAUCGUAGGCUUGCUUUUGUUGAGUUCUGGCUUAGGUUCGACACAGCUUUAGAAUGCCAACGUGAGGAAGAAUUAAUGGCAGACAACAGAAGCAUGCAUACCACCCCACAACUAUUUACGCCAUGGACAAUGGAGAAACAAGGUAGUGAGGUAUUCACAUAUGAGGUAUUCCAGAAAUUUCAGCUACAAGUUAUUGCUGCUAGAGAUCAUUGUUGUGUUCAGGGUAUUACACAAGGUGUGGGGUUAAAAACGGUGACCCUGAGAGGUCGAUCUGGUAAGGUUAGGGAGGUCUCCUAUGACACUACAACCAUGAUAGCAAAUUGUCCGUGCAAGUUAUUUGAGUCAAUCGGUAUUCCAUGUCGACAUAUUAUCCAAGUGUUGAGGAUUGAGAACCAAAAUGAGCUUCCCAACUAUUACAUUAUGAAAAGAUGGCAGAAACGGUGCAAGAGGUAA